Sceloporus undulatus (fence lizard) is the source of this 721-nucleotide long non-coding RNA. RefSeq lists it as uncharacterized. The transcript is spliced from 3 exons. NCBI's taxonomy places the organism in Eukaryota, Metazoa, Chordata, Lepidosauria, Squamata, Phrynosomatidae. The record is from RefSeq and is a predicted model, not a curated record.
AAUGCGUUCUGGCCCCACUUUCUUUUCAUUCGAAAUUAAGAGAAAUUCCUCCCAUGUGAUAAACUCCUAUGUUUGCGUCUGUGAAAUGUAAGAGGGCACCCAGGGGAAAGGGAGGUACGGAAAGCAGCAUGGAGUAGUGGUUUGAGUGUUGGAUUAAGGGGCUGAGAAACCGGGAUUCAAAUCCCUGCUCAGCCAUGUAACCCCUGCCUCAAUCCGCAGCAAAAGGGGGGGAUAUAUAAAUUAUUAUUAUUAUUAUUAUUAUUAUUAUUAUUGAAACACUCUGGGCAAGUCACACUCUCUCAGCCUCAAAGAGGCAAGGAAACCCCAUGAUAAGUAUGCCUUAGGGUCACCAUAAGUCCUGAAGCCAGAGGCCUUAUAAGCCAAAGACUAUCAGGGUAUUGAAGGUGUGCUUUUGUGCCUUGUUUUAAAUGCUUUAAUGUUUUUAAGGUGCCAAAAGGUCAUUAAGAAGUGGGGCACACAAGCUAUCGGAAGAUGAAGCCUUUUGUCUUGGUCUGAGACUGUUGGAAAGGACAAGUUUGCAGCAAUUGAAGUAAGCUGAGGAGAAAGUGAGUGGAAGGAAGAGAAACUGGGACAACGGAGGAUUAUUUGGGACUGUCCCUGCCGCAUUGGGACCAAUUGAAGAAUCCAAAGCGGCUGCAUUCAAGGCACAACACUAUUGCAUAUGAAGCUGAGAAACUCCUUCAGAAGAACGUCUAAAGAU